This is a long non-coding RNA of Frankliniella occidentalis (western flower thrips), 792 nucleotides long. RefSeq lists it as uncharacterized. The transcript has 2 exons. NCBI's taxonomy places the organism in Eukaryota, Metazoa, Arthropoda, Insecta, Thysanoptera, Thripidae. The record is from RefSeq and is a predicted model, not a curated record.
GGUGGCCAACGGCGACCGUACUGAGACGGCGUUCGGCCAGGAGGUGGAGGCGCUGCUGGCUGGCGCGGCCGUGACGAGCGCGUGGCACGAGCUGCAGCGUGCGGCCAGCGUGCACAUCAACUGGGAGCGCGAGCGCCCUCGCCCGCUGCAAUGGGAGCCCACACAGGCGCCCCGGUCCUGGGGGCCAGAGCAGGCGUAGGGAACACUACAGGUGCAGCCGCACUCCCUGCAGCGGACAACCCCCUCACCCGUGCUACCCUGGAGGGAGAGUGCAGGGCACUUCCCGUCUCGCCCGCGCUCGGAGCCGAACUUGCAAAACAUCUUUGAGCUGCAAACAACUUUUGCAUUUGGCACUGCGCUCGUUAGCACGGCGCUGGCUGCACAAACUCCUGCUCUCCGAGUCGCUAAGGUCCAUGUUCAACCAGCUUCUCCGCCCACACCCCCCGUUUCACCCUGUUCACUCCCUCUUACAACCACCUCGCCCCUUCCUCCUCACCCCCCUCAGCCCUUACGGCCCCAUCGCAACGCCACGCCACCCAGACUCCCCAGUCGUUUCGGGACUUCUUCCAAAACUGAUGACUGGAGAAAGCAAACUACUGAUCACUGUUCGACUCCUCGCCGCUGGCGCCCGCCCCGCCCCACCACGCCGCCCCGGCGGGCUUCCUCCUACAAGGUCUGUGUCUCCACAGCAUCCGGCACAGCCAAAGACAAAAACAAACGAUAAAAACAAACCAACCAUAUAUGGUGUAUACACAUUUGCCGUCAAUAAAAGGUGGCGAGUGGUAGUUGGAA